AGCUCCAAUAGCGUAUAUUAAAGUUGCUGCAGUUAAAAAGCUCGUAGUUGGAUUUGUGGCGCGGCCGUCCGGCGGGGCUCCUUCAUUGGGGCCGUUUGUCUGGUUUUUCGGCCGCCCCAUUCUCGGGUAGUGUGUCGCUGGCAUUAGGUUGUCGGCUUCUUCACGCCCGUCGUUUACUGUGAAAAAAUUAGAGUGUUCAAAGCAGGCUUAGGCCGUUGGAUACAUUAGCAUGGAAUAAUGAGAUAGGGCCACGACGGUCUAUUUUGUUGGUUUGCACGUUGUGGUAAUGAUUAACAGGAACGGUUGGGGGUAUUCGUAUUCAAUUGUCAGAGGUGAAAUUCUUGGAUUUAUGGAAGACGAACUACUGCGAAAGCAUUUACCAUGGAUGUUUUCAUUAAUC
RNAcentral lists this ribosomal RNA (400 nucleotides) under phytoplankton environmental sample. RNAcentral's name for it is "partial small subunit ribosomal RNA". It matches the Rfam family "Eukaryotic small subunit ribosomal RNA", at positions 587 to 978 of the family's 1831-position model. The record is from RNAcentral.